AGCUCCAAUAGCGUAUAUUAAUGUUGUUGUGGUUAAAAAGCUCGUAGUUGGAUCUCGGCAGGUGGAAGGCGGUUUGCUUGCUAGUAUUACUGCCCUAUAAUCUGUAGUUUUGCCAGAGGUUUUAGGGUGCUCUUAAUCGAGUGUCCUGAGAUGCUGGCAGGUUUACUUUGAAAAAAAUAGAAUGCUCAAAGCAGGCUGUUACGCCUGAAUAUUCGUGCAUGGAAUAAUAGAAUAUAAAGUCGUUUCUAUUUUGUUGGUUUUCGGAAAUCGACUUUAUGAUUAAUAGGGACAGUUGGGGGCAUUUGUGUUCAAAGGACAGAGGUGAAAUUCUUGGACCGUUUGAAGACAAACUACUGCGAAAGCAUUUGCCAAGAAUGUUUUCA
This 383-nucleotide ribosomal RNA is filed under the name uncultured eukaryote. RNAcentral describes it as "SSU rRNA". It matches the Rfam family "Eukaryotic small subunit ribosomal RNA", at positions 587 to 972 of the family's 1831-position model. The record is from RNAcentral.